GCCAGGGUGGCUCAGUCAGUUAAGCGUCUGACUUCAGUUCAGGUCAUCAUCUGGUGGUUCGUGGGUUCAAGCCCCACAUCAGGCU
RNAcentral lists this transfer RNA (85 nucleotides) under Felis catus (domestic cat). It matches the Rfam family "tRNA". Rfam says of the family: Transfer RNA (tRNA) molecules are approximately 80 nucleotides in length. Their secondary structure includes four short double-helical elements and three loops (D, anti-codon, and T loops). Lineage: Eukaryota; Metazoa; Chordata; Mammalia; Carnivora; Felidae. The record is from Rfam by way of RNAcentral.